Molecule: long non-coding RNA, 383 nt
Organism: Artibeus jamaicensis (Jamaican fruit-eating bat)
Lineage: Eukaryota; Metazoa; Chordata; Mammalia; Chiroptera; Phyllostomidae
Exons: 3
Source: RefSeq, a predicted model, not a curated record
GAACCCGUGGAGGAAGCGCCCGUCCGACCCCACGUCGCAGCCGGUCAUUUCCUGGAGGGUGUGAGACCCUGACCCCGCCCAAGGGCACCCGCGGCUCCAGCCUGGCCCUGGCGGCGUCACUGUGGAACCGCAGGAUCUCCCUGUCGUCCACGUAGAUGACGACGGUGUAGCGGUUCUUCUCGCCGAGGGAGGGAUCUUAUCUGAGAGAUGACCAGGGACAUCACUGAGGGGGACAUGUAGCUUUCGUGGUGGACAGAAUUGAGAGUUCUCAUCGACUAGAAGUAAAAUCUGCCCCGCUGGCACUGAAUUGACUGCUCUAAGUUGGGCUUGUCCCCUGGAUGAAGAUCUAAGCCAACAACUAGAACUCGAACAGAACCAGAGAA